UCUGAGGAGCCAUUCUUAAAGCUUUCUGUGAUAAAGACCACAAAGCCAAACUUCUUCAUCACUCCUAGUUAUAACAGCACCCUCUGCCACCGAAGUAAGGGACCUGGUAAGUGAGAUGGAGAAGGAAAGGAAGCUGAUAAAAGAUGGGUGACCCCUGGGGGACAGGGCAGAACAUGCCCCAAGGAGCUGGAACACGUGCUCACACUCUGCCAUCAGGGAGCGGACUCUUCCUGUUGAUUCCUUUGAAAACUGCCAGUAGAAACAAUUAGCAGAGGAGCUGAAAAAUUGGACCUGGUGGGAUAAGGAAGACCAGACUCCAGGACAAUUCCUUGUUUGUUGAGGGGAACCGCUGUUCAGCUUUCUCUGGCUCCCGAAGCAAUGGAAUUUCCUCCUCACCGAUGCCUAUGAACAGCAUGUUUCAAAAUAUGAAUUCCUUCCCAUUUAAUGAAAAUGAUUCCAUUAAGUGUUAUAAAUUGAAUUCAAUUACUAUCCAUUUUUCUUUUUAAAUAUGCUUAAUAAUAAAUAAGUUUAACCAAA
Mirounga angustirostris (Northern elephant seal) is the source of this 537-nucleotide long non-coding RNA. RefSeq lists it as uncharacterized. The transcript is spliced from 3 exons. Lineage: Eukaryota; Metazoa; Chordata; Mammalia; Carnivora; Phocidae. The record is from RefSeq and is a predicted model, not a curated record.